CAGCCGUAAACUAUGCGCGUUAGGUGUAUCGGUGACCACGAGUCACCGAGGUGCCGAAGGGAAACCGUGAAACGUGCCGCCUGGGAAGUACGGCCGCAAGGCUGAAACUUAAAGGAAUUGGCGGGGGAGCACCACAAGGGGUGAAGCUUGCGGUUUAAUUGGAUUCAACGCCGGAAAUCUUACCGGGACCGACAGCAACAUGAAGGCCAAGCUGAAGACUUUGCCGGAUUAGCUGAGAGGAGGUGCAUGGCGUAGUCGUGU
Molecule: ribosomal RNA, 261 nt
Filed under: uncultured archaeon
Lineage: Archaea
Description: partial 16S ribosomal RNA
Rfam family: Archaeal small subunit ribosomal RNA
Source: RNAcentral